Molecule: unclassified non-coding RNA, 337 nt
Filed under: soil metagenome
Description: partial contains 5.8S ribosomal RNA, internal transcribed spacer 2, and large subunit ribosomal RNA
Rfam family: 5.8S ribosomal RNA (bases 1-120)
Source: RNAcentral
GAUGAAGAACGCAGCGAAAUGCGAUAAGUAGUGUGAAUUGCAGAAUUCAGUGAAUCAUCGAAUCUUUGAACGCACAUUGCGCCCCUUGGUAUUCCAUGGGGCAUGCCUGUUCGAGCGUCAUUUGUACCUUCAAGCUCUGCUUGGUGUUGGGUGUUUGUCUCGCCUCUGCGUGUAGACUCGCCUCAAAACAAUUGGCAGCCGGCGUAUUGAUUUCGGAGCGCAGUACAUCUCGCGCUUUGCACUCAUAACGACGACGUCCAAAAGUACAUUUUUACACUCUUGACCUCGGAUCAGGCGGGGAUACCCGCUGAACUUAAGCAUAUCAAUAAGCGGAGGA